Molecule: ribosomal RNA, 266 nt
Filed under: Bifidobacterium longum
Lineage: Bacteria; Bacillati; Actinomycetota; Actinomycetes; Bifidobacteriales; Bifidobacteriaceae
Description: partial 23S ribosomal RNA
Rfam family: Bacterial large subunit ribosomal RNA
Source: RNAcentral
CCUGAGGAGGCCUGCCCAUAGUACGAGAGGACCUGGGUGGACGGACCUCUGGUAUGCCGGUUGUCGCGCCAGCGGCAUGGCCGGUUGGCUACGUUCGGGAGGGAUAACCGCUGAAAGCAUCUAAGCGGGAAGCCUGCUCCAAGAUUAGGAUUCCUUGACGCUCCCCGGAGCGCCUGUAGCCCGCAUGUGGAACACGUGUUCGAUAGGCCGGAGGUGGAAGCCCCGCGAGGGGUGGAGCCGACCGGUACUAACGGGCGAACGCGGCA